RNAcentral lists this long non-coding RNA (497 nucleotides) under Gouania willdenowi (blunt-snouted clingfish). RNAcentral's name for it is "lncRNA (ENSGWIG00000023140.1)". Lineage: Eukaryota; Metazoa; Chordata; Actinopteri; Blenniiformes; Gobiesocidae. The record is from RNAcentral.
CUGCCUUCUUUGUUAGAAGCUGCUCUUCACAAGCUGAAGAAAGUUUCUGAGAAGUAUUCAAGCAAAUCUGCCCUUGCUGGUGACUGCCACCAGGUGAGUCAGCAGGUCAAGCAGCUUGAGGAGGAGGCUGCUGUUGUUCUGGAGGAGGUGACCACAUCCAAGGCCACCAUGGGGCGAGUACUGUCUGCAUGGGACUCGUACACCGACUGCUUCAGCUCUGUGCAGGCUUGGCUUUUACAGGGAUCAUCAGCAGCCAGCUCCCAGAGAUCUGAGGCGACGCCUGAAUCCAUCGCUGAGUGGAGCUCCCGGCACGUCCACCUGAACGAGACUGGCAACUUCCUUAUUAAGUCAACUGACCCUCAGACCAGCAGGAACCUGGCAGAUGAGCUGCGGAAGCUCAACCUUCACUGGGAGGAAUUUGUUCAGAAGAACACUUUGGUAAGAAAUCUAAGACUAACUUUGUCUGCCGACGCUUUAAAUUAUACCCUGGGAAAAAA